CCUACGGGUGGCAGCAGUGGGGAAUAUUGGACAAUGGGCGAAAGCCUGAUCCAGCCAUGCCGCGUGUGUGAAGAAGGCCUUCGGGUUGUAAAGCACUUUCAGUGGGGAAGAAAGCCUUGGGGCUAAUACCCUCGAGGAAGGACAUCACCCACAGAAGAAGCACCGGCUAACUCCGUGCCAGCAGCCGCGGUAAUACGGAGGGUGCGAGCGUUAAUCGGAAUUACUGGGCGUAAAGCGCGCGUAGGCGGUCUGAUAAGCCGGUUGUGAAAGCCCCGGGCUCAACCUGGGAACGGCAUCCGGAACUGUCAGGCUAGAGUGCAGGAGAGGAAGGUAGAAUUCCCGGUGUAGCGGUGAAAUGCGUAGAGAUCGGGAGGAAUACCAGUGGCGAAGGCGGCCUUCUGGACUGACACUGACGCUGAGGUGCGAAAGCGUGGGUAGCAAACAGGAUUAGAUACCCCGGUCGUC
Molecule: ribosomal RNA, 465 nt
Filed under: Vreelandella stevensii
Lineage: Bacteria; Pseudomonadati; Pseudomonadota; Gammaproteobacteria; Oceanospirillales; Halomonadaceae
Description: partial 16S ribosomal RNA
Rfam family: Bacterial small subunit ribosomal RNA
Source: RNAcentral